RNAcentral lists this ribosomal RNA (200 nucleotides) under uncultured bacterium. RNAcentral's name for it is "partial 16S ribosomal RNA". It matches the Rfam family "Bacterial small subunit ribosomal RNA", at positions 8 to 202 of the family's 1533-position model. The record is from RNAcentral.
AGAGUUUGAUCAUGGCUCAGGAUGAACGCUAGCGGCAGGCCUCAUACAUGCAAGUCGAGGGGCAACAGGACACUUCGGUGUUGCUGGCGACCGGCGCACGGGUGCGUAACACGUAUGUAAUCUACCUUAUACUAGGGCAUAGCUCUCGGAAACGAGGAUUAAUACCCUAUAUUAUCUCACUAGCGCAUGCUAGUGAGAUG